GAUGAACGCUGGCGGCGUGCCUAAUACAUGCAAGUCGAGCGAACAGAUGAGGAUCUUGCUCCUCUGACGUUAGCGGCGGACGGGUGAGUAACACGUGGAUAACCUACCUAUAAGACUGGGAUAACUUCGGGAAACCGGAGCUAAUACCGGAUAAUAUAUUGAACCGCAUGGUUCAAUAGUGAAAGACGGUUUUGCUGUCACUUAUAGAUGGAUCCGCGCCGCAUUAGCUAGUUGGUAAGGUAACGGCUUACCAAGGCAACGAUGCGUAGCCGACCUGAGAGGGUGAUCGGCCACACUGGAACUGAGACACGGUCCAGACUCCUACGGGAGGCAGCAGUAGGGAAUCUUCCGCAAUGGGCGAAAGCCUGACGGAGCAGCGCCGCGUGAGUGAUGAAGGUCUUCGGAUCGUAAAACUCUGUUAUUAGGGAAGAACAAAUGUGUAAGUAACUAUGCACGUCUUGACGGUACCUAAUCAGAAAGCCACGGCUAACUACGUG
Molecule: ribosomal RNA, 497 nt
Filed under: uncultured bacterium
Lineage: Bacteria
Description: partial 16S ribosomal RNA
Rfam family: Bacterial small subunit ribosomal RNA
Source: RNAcentral